GACGAACGCUGGCGGCGUGCUUAACACAUGCAAGUCGAACGGGAUCCAAAGGCUUUUUGUUUUUGGUGAGAGGGGCGAACGGGUGAGUAACACGUGAGUAACCUGCCCCCUUCUUUUGGAUAACCGCAUGAAAGUGUGGCUAAUACAGGAUAUUCCAGGCUGGUCGCAUGAUUGGUUUGGGAAAUGGUUUGGUCUGGUGGGGGAUGGGCUCGCGGCCUAUCAGCUUGUUGGUGGGGUGAUGGCCUACCAAGGCGGUGACGGGUAGCCGGCCUGAGAGGGUGGGCGGUCACACUGGGACUGAGAUACGGCCCAGGCUCCUACGGGAGGCAGCAGUGGGGGAUUUUGCAGAAUGGGCGCAAGACUGAUGCAGCGACGCCGCGUGAGGGAUGAAGGCCUUCGGGUUGUAAACCUCUUUCGCUGGGUUGAAAGGCCAUGCUUUGGGUGUGGUUGAUUUGAACAGGUAAAGAAGUACCGGCUAACUACGU
Molecule: ribosomal RNA, 485 nt
Filed under: uncultured bacterium
Lineage: Bacteria
Description: partial 16S ribosomal RNA
Rfam family: Bacterial small subunit ribosomal RNA
Source: RNAcentral